Long non-coding RNA from Centruroides sculpturatus (bark scorpion), 794 nucleotides. RefSeq lists it as uncharacterized. The transcript is spliced from 3 exons. NCBI's taxonomy places the organism in Eukaryota, Metazoa, Arthropoda, Arachnida, Scorpiones, Buthidae. The record is from RefSeq and is a predicted model, not a curated record.
UUACUACUACUUAAUAAUAGAUUGACAGAGUAAAAGUUGUAUCAAAAUAUUUUAUUUGUUUUUCUUGUAGCUUGGUUGGCGACGGAUAUUAAAUGUUACUCAGAAUGAAGAUCCUGGUUAUUGUGUAAAAAUUAUAAACAUUGGUUAUUUGAUCUUAGUCAUAACAUUUGUAUUGCUUGGUUAUGUUUUGCAGUAUGCAGCUUGUUUUAGAAAAGAUGGUUUUUCACCAUAUACUAAUGAAACAGCAUACCAAUUUUCAAUUUUUUCAAGAAGAAAUUACAAAUUUGAUAUUAACAAAUCAGAAAUAGUUAAAGAAAACAUCAAUCAAGUGUGCUCAGGCAAUAUCAUUAGUGUUUAUAUUAUUCCGGAUUUGUUACAUUUCUUAUCUUUCUUGUACAUGCUUCGUUUGAUGAGAACUCCUGAAAAUGAACAACUUCAGACUCUUAUGGAACGGGUAUUUUUGCAGUCAUCUCUUACACAAUCAUGGCAUUUUAGUCAGAGAAAACUUGUAAGAAAAUUGAGGUGAUUAUUUCAAAUUAUUGUAAUUUUGAUCAUUUUUUAAUAAUUGCUGUACUUAUAUAGUAUUUAAAUACUUUGCUCUCUAUUCUAUAAUUGCAGUUUUAUCUUGUUUUUAAUAUCAGUAUCAUUUUAUACAUAAUAGACUCCUGUUAUUGGGGCACUUACAGAAUUUGUAUGUACAAAAAUAUACUUACAAAUUAUAAGAAGCAAAAUAAAUUUAAUUUUAUUCCUCCAAACCAUCCAAGAUGUUAUUACUUUAUGCAAUAACACCAAUA